GGGGCGAGCGGGGACGUGAAGCUUGCUUCACUCGCCGGCGACCGGCGGCACGGGUCGAGUAACACGUAUCGUCAACCUGCCCCUCGGACUCGGGGGAGUAAGACCGGCGGAAAUACCGGUCUAAUACCGCGUAACAUCCUUGCGGGGCGAUCCCGUUAGGAUCAAAGGAAGCGAUUCCGGCCAGGGAUGGGCAUGCGGCACAUUAGCUAGUCGGCGGGGUAACGGCCCACCGAGGCGACGAUGCGUAGGGGUUCUGAGAGGAAGGUCCCCCACACUGGUACUGAGACACGAACCAGACUCCUACGGGAGGCAGCAGUGAGGAAUAUUGGUCAAUGGGCGCGAGCCUGAACCAGCCAAGUCGCGUGAGGGAAGACGGUCCUAUGGAUUGUAAACCUCUUUUGCCGGGGAGCAAGCUGUGUCACGUGUGACACAGCUGAGAGUACCCGGAGAAAAAGCAUCGGCUAACUCCGUG
This 472-nucleotide ribosomal RNA is filed under the name uncultured Bacteroidota bacterium. RNAcentral describes it as "bacterial SSU rRNA". It matches the Rfam family "Bacterial small subunit ribosomal RNA", at positions 59 to 507 of the family's 1533-position model. Lineage: Bacteria; Pseudomonadati; Bacteroidota. The record is from RNAcentral.